This 264-nucleotide unclassified non-coding RNA is filed under the name Hevea brasiliensis (rubber tree). Lineage: Eukaryota; Viridiplantae; Streptophyta; Magnoliopsida; Malpighiales; Euphorbiaceae. The record is from RNAcentral.
AAUAUUAUCCAUGCUUGGGAAUCUUUGCAAGUUCAUUUUUGAAAAGGAUGAGGAAGAUUGGAAAGAGUCAUCAACAGAUGUUGAAGGACUUUCAGCUAAUCCUGUACUUUCUUGUACAUUUUCAGCUAUAGUUUCUGUUGAAUUUUCACUUGAUAGAAGAGGCGUGGGAAUAAAAAACUUAGCAUUUGCAGACACAGCAGGUUUGACAGAUGGAACAGAAGGUGACCGGAAUAAAUUUGCCGAGCUUCCACCUCCUUGGUUGAA